Molecule: ribosomal RNA, 829 nt
Filed under: Bradymyces yunnanensis
Lineage: Eukaryota; Fungi; Ascomycota; Eurotiomycetes; Chaetothyriales; Trichomeriaceae
Description: partial 28S ribosomal RNA
Rfam family: Eukaryotic large subunit ribosomal RNA
Source: RNAcentral
ACGGCGAGUGAAGCGGCAACAGCUCAAAUUUGAAAUCUGGCCGUCAGGUCCGAGUUGUAAUUUGUAGAGGAUGUUUUGGGCACCGCAGCCGGAUAAAUUUCUUGGAACAGAAUGUCAUAGAGGGUGAGAGUCCCGUCUUGACCGGCUGUAGGACCUGUGUAAAACUCCUUCGACGAGUUCGACUUGUUUGGGAAUGCAGGUCAAAAUGGGUGGUAAAUUUCAUCUAAAGCUAAAUAUUGGCCAGAGACCGAUAGCGCACAAGUAGAGUGAUCGAAAGAUGAAAAGCACUUUGAAAAGAGAGUUAAACAGUAUGUGAAAUUGUUGAAAGGGAAGCGCAGGCAACCAGACUCGAGCGCGGGGUUCCCCCUUCCUUUUGGGUUGGGCUACUUCCCCGUGACCGGGCCAUCAUCAGUUUUGGGGGCGGGUUAAAGGCCUUGGGAAUGUAUCUACCCCUUUCGGGGGUAGACUUAUAGCCCUCGGUGUCAUGCCGCCUCCCGGGACUGAGGAACGCGCUUCGGCGAGGAUGAUGGCGUAAUGGUUGUCUGCGACCCGUCUUGAAACACGGACCAAGGAGUCUAACAUCUAUGCGAGUGUUCGGGUGUCAAACCCUUGCGCGGAAUGAAAGUGAACGGAGGUAGGAAGGCCUGAGCCUGCACUAUCGACCGAUCCUGAUGUCUUCGGAUGGAUUUGAGUAAGAGCAUAGCUGUUGGGACCCGAAAGAUGGUGAACUAUGCGUGAAUAGGGUGAAGCCAGAGGAAACUCUGGUGGAGGCUCGCAGCGGUUCUGACGUGCAAAUCGAUCGUCAAAUUUGCGUAUAGGGGCGAAAGAC